RNAcentral lists this ribosomal RNA (892 nucleotides) under uncultured bacterium. RNAcentral describes it as "partial 16S small subunit ribosomal RNA". It matches the Rfam family "Bacterial small subunit ribosomal RNA", at positions 56 to 997 of the family's 1533-position model. The record is from RNAcentral.
UGCAGUCGANCGGNNCCUUCGGGAUUAGUGGCGGACGGGUGAGUAACACGUGGGAACGUGCCCUUUGGUUCGGAACAACUCAGGGAAACUUGAGCUAAUACCGGAUGUGCCCUUCGGGGGAAAGAUUUAUCGCCAUUGGAGCGGCCCGCGUCUGAUUAGCUAGUUGGUGAGGUAAAGGCUCACCAAGGCGACGAUCAGUAGCUGGUCUGAGAGGAUGAUCAGCCACAUUGGGACUGAGACACGGCCCAAACUCCUACGGGAGGCAGCAGUGGGGAAUCUUGCGCAAUGGGCGAAAGCCUGACGCAGCCAUGCCGCGUGAAUGAUGAAGGUCUUAGGAUUGUAAAAUUCUUUCACCGGGGACGAUAAUGACGGUACCCGGAGAAGAAGCCCCGGCUAACUUCGUGCCAGCAGCCGCGGUAAUACGAAGGGGGCUAGCGUUGCUCGGAAUUACUGGGCGUAAAGGGAGCGUAGGCGGACUGUUUAGUCAGAGGUGAAAGCCCAGGGCUCAACCUUGGAAUUGCCUUUGAUACUGGCAGUCUUGAGUACGGAAGAGGUAUGUGGAACUCCGAGUGUAGAGGUGAAAUUCGUAGAUAUUCGGAAGAACACCAGUGGCGAAGGCGACAUACUGGUCCGUUACUGACGCUGAGGCUCGAAAGCGUGGGGAGCAAACAGGAUUAGAUACCCUGGUAGUCCACGCCGUAAACGAUGAGUGCUAGUUGUCGGCAUGCAUGCAUGUCGGUGACGCAGCUAACGCAUUAAGCACUCCGCCUGGGGAGUANGNUCGCAAGANUAAAACUCAAAGGAAUUGANGGGGNCCGCACAAGCGGNGGANCAUGUGNUUUAAUUCGANGCNNCGCGCANANCCUUACCACCUUUUNACNUGCCUGGACCG